AACGCACCUUGCGCCCUUUGGUAUUCCGAAGGGCAUGCCUGUUUGAGUGUCAUUAAAUUCUCAAACCUUGAUCAGUUUUGCGCUGACUUCAAGGCUUUGGAUGUGGGAGUCUUUUGCUGGAACUCUUUUGGAUCAGCUCUCCUUAAAUGCAUUAGCGGUUACUUGAUCCCCUUUCCUUGGUGUGAUAAUUAUCUACGCCUUUGAAACGAUCAGCAUUGUAUCAGCUUCUAACCGUCCAUUGACUUGGACAACUUAAUUGACCAUUUGACCUCAAAUCAGGUAGGACUACCCGCUGAACUUAA
RNAcentral lists this unclassified non-coding RNA (302 nucleotides) under uncultured Mycena. RNAcentral's name for it is "sequence contains ITS2". The stretch from base 1 to 52 matches the Rfam family "5.8S ribosomal RNA", at positions 103 to 154 of the family's 154-position model. Lineage: Eukaryota; Fungi; Basidiomycota; Agaricomycetes; Agaricales; Tricholomataceae. The record is from RNAcentral.